This 429-nucleotide ribosomal RNA is filed under the name Chloroflexota bacterium. RNAcentral's name for it is "Chloroflexi bacterium partial 16S ribosomal RNA". It matches the Rfam family "Bacterial small subunit ribosomal RNA", at positions 355 to 776 of the family's 1533-position model. The record is from RNAcentral. Lineage: Bacteria; Bacillati; Chloroflexota.
UGGGGAAUAUUGCACAAUGGGCGCAAGCCUGAUGCAGCCAUGCCGCGUGUAUGAAGAAGGCCUUCGGGUUGUAAAGUACUUUCAGUCGGGAGGAAGGUGGUAAGGUUAAUAACCUUAUCAAUUGACGUUACCGACAGAAGAAGCACCGGCUAACUCCGUGCCAGCAGCCGCGGUAAUACGGAGGGUGCAAGCGUUAAUCGGAAUUACUGGGCGUAAAGCGCACGCAGGCGGUUGAUUGAGUCAGAUGUGAAAUCCCCGGGCUUAACCCGGGAAUUGCAUCUGAUACUGGUCAGCUAGAGUCUUGUAGAGGGGGGUAGAAUUCCAUGUGUAGCGGUGAAAUGCGUAGAGAUGUGGAGGAAUACCGGUGGCGAAGGCGGCCGCCUGGACAAAGACUGACGCUCAGGUGCGAAAGCGUGGGGAGCAAACAGG